GUUACUCACCCGUUGCUUUGGCGCACGCCAAUCUCCUCACCCGCUAUCCUGUAUCGUCGGAGCACUAUAACAUUAAAACUUUCAACAACGGAUAUCUUGGUUCUGGCAUCGAUGAAGAACGAAGCGAAAUGCGAUAAGUAAUGUGAAUUGCAGUAGUGAAUCAUCGAAUCUUUGAACGCACAUUGCGCCCUUUGGCAUUCCGAAGGGCAUGCCUGUUCGAGCGUCAUAUCGCCAUCACGCGGCGCGCCGGCCCCCGGGCCUGGCCCCCGUGGUCUUGAGCCGUGUCAGCAAUGGCAGGCUCUAAAGUCAGUGGCGGCGCCGUUGGGUCCUGAACGUAGUCCCCACUCGUUACGGGCCCCGACGCCUCCCGCCCCUCCAUCCUCUGGAUGACCUCGAAUCAGUAGGGUUACCCGCUGAACUUAAGCAUAUCAAUAAGCGGAGGA
Molecule: small RNA, 443 nt
Filed under: uncultured fungus
Lineage: Eukaryota; Fungi
Description: eukaryotic LSU rRNA
Rfam family: 5.8S ribosomal RNA (bases 77-226)
Source: RNAcentral